This 626-nucleotide ribosomal RNA is filed under the name Escherichia coli. Its description in RNAcentral is "partial 23S ribosomal RNA". It matches the Rfam family "Bacterial large subunit ribosomal RNA", at positions 2091 to 2716 of the family's 2925-position model. Lineage: Bacteria; Pseudomonadati; Pseudomonadota; Gammaproteobacteria; Enterobacterales; Enterobacteriaceae. The record is from RNAcentral.
CCGUGAACCUUUACUAUAGCUUGACACUGAACAUUGAGCCUUGAUGUGUAGGAUAGGUGGGAGGCUUAGAAGUGUGGACGCCAGUCUGCAUGGAGCCGACCUUGAAAUACCACCCUUUAAUGUUUGAUGUUCUAACGUUGACCCGUAAUCCGGGUUGCGGACAGUGUCUGGUGGGUAGUUUGACUGGGGCGGUCUCCUCCUAAAGAGUAACGGAGGAGCACGAAGGUUGGCUAAUCCUGGUCGGACAUCAGGAGGUUAGUGCAAUGGCAUAAGCCAGCUUGACUGCGAGCGUGACGGCGCGAGCAGGUGCGAAAGCAGGUCAUAGUGAUCCGGUGGUUCUGAAUGGAAGGGCCAUCGCUCAACGGAUAAAAGGUACUCCGGGGAUAACAGGCUGAUACCGCCCAAGAGUUCAUAUCGACGGCGGUGUUUGGCACCUCGAUGUCGGCUCAUCACAUCCUGGGGCUGAAGUAGGUCCCAAGGGUAUGGCUGUUCGCCAUUUAAAGUGGUACGCGAGCUGGGUUUAGAACGUCGUGAGACAGUUCGGUCCCUAUCUGCCGUGGGCGCUGGAGAACUGAGGGGGGCUGCUCCUAGUACGAGAGGACCGGAGUGGACGCAUCACUGGUGUU